CCUACGGGUGGCAGCAGUGAGGGAUAUUGGUCAAUGGGGGAAACCCUGAACCAGCAACGCCGCGUGAGGGAAGACGGUUUUCGGAUCGUAAACCUCUGUCCUCAGUGAAGAUAAUGACGGUAGCUGAGGAGGAAGCUCCGGCUAACUACUUGCCAGCAGCCGCGGUAAUACGUAGGGAGCACGCGUUGUCCGGAUUUACUGGGGGUAAAGGUUGCGUAGGCGGCUUUGCAAGUCAGAAGUGAAAUCCAUGGGCUUAACCCAUGAACUGCUUUUGAAACUGGAGAACUUGAGUGGGGUAGAGGAUAGUGGAAUUCCAGGUGUAGGGGUGAAAUGCGUAGAGAUCGGGAGGAACAACAGUGGCGAAGGCGGCUAACUGGCAUAUAACUGACGCUGAGGCACGAAAGCGUGGGUAGCAAACAGGAUUAGAUACCCUUGUAGUC
Molecule: ribosomal RNA, 440 nt
Filed under: uncultured bacterium
Lineage: Bacteria
Description: partial 16S ribosomal RNA
Rfam family: Bacterial small subunit ribosomal RNA
Source: RNAcentral